GUACAUAGCUACAGCCAUGCUGAACAAGCCUGAUCCCGUCUGAUUUUGGAAGCUAAGCAGGGUCGGUUCUGGUUAGUACUUGGAUGGGAGAUCACUUAGGAAGACCAGGUGCUGUAGGCA
This is a ribosomal RNA of Pteropus vampyrus (large flying fox), 120 nucleotides long. NCBI's taxonomy places the organism in Eukaryota, Metazoa, Chordata, Mammalia, Chiroptera, Pteropodidae. The record is from Ensembl.